UACGGGAGGCAGCAGUGGGGAAUAUUGCACAAUGGGCGCAAGCCUGAUGCAGCCAUGCCGCGUGUAUGAAGAAGGCCUUCGGGUUGUAAAGUACUUUCAGUCGUGAGGAAGGUGUUAAGGUUAAUAACCUUAGCAAUUGACGUUAGCGACAGAAGGAGCACCGGCUAACUCCGUGCCAGCAGCCGCGGUAAUACGGAGGGUGCGAGCGUUAAUCGGAAUUACUGGGCGUAAAGGGCACGCAGGCGGUUAAUUAAGUUGGAUGUGAAAUCCCCGGGCUUAACCUGGGAAUGGCAUUCAAGACUGGUUAGCUAGAGUCUUGUAGAGGGGGUAGAAUUCCAUGUGUAGCGGUGAAAUGCGUAGAGAUGUGGAGGAAUACCGGUGGCGAAGGCGGCCCCUGGGACAAAGACUGACGCUCAUGUGCGAAAGCGUGGGGAGCAAACAGGAUUAGAUACC
RNAcentral lists this ribosomal RNA (453 nucleotides) under uncultured bacterium. RNAcentral describes it as "bacterial SSU rRNA". It matches the Rfam family "Bacterial small subunit ribosomal RNA", at positions 340 to 786 of the family's 1533-position model. The record is from RNAcentral.